RNAcentral lists this ribosomal RNA (253 nucleotides) under uncultured bacterium. Its description in RNAcentral is "partial 16S ribosomal RNA". It matches the Rfam family "Bacterial small subunit ribosomal RNA", at positions 524 to 776 of the family's 1533-position model. The record is from RNAcentral.
UACGAAGGGGGCUAGCGUUGCUCGGAAUCACUGGGCGUAAAGCGCACGUAGGCGGCUUUCUAAGUCAGGGGUGAAAUCCUGGAGCUCAACUCCAGAACUGCCUUUGAUACUGGAAAGCUUGAGUCCGGGAGAGGUGAGUGGAACUGCGAGUGUAGAGGUGAAAUUCGUAGAUAUUCGCAAGAACACCAGUGGCGAAGGCGGCUCACUGGCCCGAUACUGACGCUGAGGUGCGAAAGCGUGGGGAGCAAACAGG